Molecule: ribosomal RNA, 506 nt
Filed under: uncultured bacterium
Lineage: Bacteria
Description: bacterial SSU rRNA
Rfam family: Bacterial small subunit ribosomal RNA
Source: RNAcentral
GCGAAAGCCUGACCCAGCAACGCCGCGUGAAGGAUGAAGUAUUUCGGUAUGUAAACUUCGAAAGAAUAGGAAGAAUAAAUGACGGUACUAUUUAUAAGGUCCGGCUAACUACGUGCCAGCAGCCGCGGUAAUACGUAGGGACCAAGCGUUGUUCGGAUUUACUGGGCGUAAAGGGCGCGUAGGCGGCGUGGUAAGUCACUUGUGAAAUCUCUGAGCUUAACUCAGAACGGCCAAGUGAUACUGCUGUGCUAGAGUGCAGAAGGGGCAAUCGGAAUUCUUGGUGUAGCGGUGAAAUGCGUAGAUAUCAAGAGGAACACCUGAGGUGAAGACGGGUUGCUGGGCUGACACUGACGCUGAGGCGCGAAAGCCAGGGGAGCAAACGGGAUUAGAUACCCCGGUAGUCCUGGCCCUAAACGAUGAAUACUUGGUGUCUGGAGUCUUUAAUGCUCCGGGUGCCGUCGCUAACGUUUUUAGUAUUCCGCCUGGGGAGUACGCUCGCAAGAGUG